GACGAACGCUGGCGGCGUGCUUAACACAUGCAAGUCGAACGACGUGGCGAACGGGUGAGUAAUACGUGGGUAACCUGCCCUCCUUUUUGGGAUAAGCCUUUGAAACGGGGUCUAAUACCGAAUAAAGGGGGAUGGGCUCGCGGCCUAUCAGCUUGUGGGUGGGGUGAUGGCCUACCAAGGCGGUGACGGGUAGCCGGCCUGAGAGGGUGACCGGCCACAGUGGGACUGAGAUACGGCCCAGACUCCUACGGGAGGCAGCAGUGGGGGAUAUUGCACAAUGGGCGCAAGCCUGAUGCAGCCAUGCCGAGUGUAUGAAGAAGGCCGUCGGGUUGUAAAGGACUUUUGUUAGGAAAACGGUACCUAAAGAAGAAGCACCGGCUAACUACGUGCCAGCAGCCGCGGUAAUAC
RNAcentral lists this ribosomal RNA (408 nucleotides) under uncultured bacterium. RNAcentral's name for it is "partial 16S ribosomal RNA". It matches the Rfam family "Bacterial small subunit ribosomal RNA", at positions 28 to 526 of the family's 1533-position model. The record is from RNAcentral.